AGAAUCAACGCUGGCGGCGUGCCUCAGACAUGCAAGUCGAACGCGAAAGGCCCCUUCGGGGGACAAGUAGAGUGGCGCACGGGUGAGUAACACGUAGGUAAUCUACCUUCGGAUGGGGAAUAACAACCGGAAACGGUUGCUAAUACCGCAUAAUGCAGCGGCACCUAAUGGUGACAGUUGUUAAAGCGGGGGAUCGAAAGACCUCGCGUCUGAAGAGGAGCCUGCGGCGGAUUAGCUAAGUUGGUAGGUAACGGCCUACCAAGGCGACGAUCCGUA
This 276-nucleotide ribosomal RNA is filed under the name uncultured soil bacterium. RNAcentral describes it as "partial 16S ribosomal RNA". It matches the Rfam family "Bacterial small subunit ribosomal RNA", at positions 26 to 285 of the family's 1533-position model. The record is from RNAcentral.